AUCAGCGGCGAUAGCACAUUGAAUGCACCAGUUCCCCACAGUCCCACGGAUCACUGAAGUUAAGCAACGUUGCGCGUAAUUAGUACCUGGAUGGUGACCAUGGAGGGAAUCGUGUGCUGCUGGGU
This 125-nucleotide ribosomal RNA is filed under the name Diaphorina citri (Asian citrus psyllid). Lineage: Eukaryota; Metazoa; Arthropoda; Insecta; Hemiptera; Psyllidae. The record is from RNAcentral.